RNAcentral lists this ribosomal RNA (253 nucleotides) under uncultured bacterium. RNAcentral's name for it is "partial 16S ribosomal RNA". It matches the Rfam family "Bacterial small subunit ribosomal RNA", at positions 524 to 776 of the family's 1533-position model. The record is from RNAcentral.
UACGUAGGUGGCAAGCGUUGUCCGGAUUUACUGGGUGUAAAGGGCGCGUAGGCGGGUAGGCAAGUCAGAUGUGAAAUACCGGGGCUUAACUCCGGGGCUGCAUUUGAAACUGUUUAUCUUGAAUAUCGGAGAGGCAGGCGGAAUUCCUAGUGUAGCGGUGAAAUGCGUAGAUAUUAGGAGGAACACCAGUGGCGAAGGCGGUCUGCUGGACAGCAACUGACGCUGAGGCGCGAAAGCGUGGGGAGCAAACAGG